CCUACGGGCGGCAGCAGUGGGGAAUAUUGCACAAUGGGGGAAACCCUGAUGCAGCGACGCCGCGUGAAUGAAGAAGUAACUCGGUAUGUAAAGCUCUAUCAGCAGGGGAGUAAAUGACGGUACCUGAGUAAUAAGCCCCGGCUAACUACGUGCCAACAGCCGCGGUAAUACGUAGGGGGCAAGCGUUAUCCGGAUUUACUGGGUGUAAAGGGAGCGUAGACGGCAGUGCAAGUCUGGAGUGAAAGGCGGGGGCUCAACCCCCGGACUGCUCUUGAAACUGUACGGUUGGAGUGCAGGAGAGGUAAGCGGAAUUCGUAGUGUAGCGGUGAAAUGCGUAGAUAUCAGGAGGAACACCAGUGGCGAAGGCGGCUUACUGGACUGUAACUGACGUUGAGGCUCGAAAGCGUGGGGAGCAAACAGGAUUAGAUACCCUAGUAGUC
This 440-nucleotide ribosomal RNA is filed under the name uncultured bacterium. Its description in RNAcentral is "partial 16S ribosomal RNA". It matches the Rfam family "Bacterial small subunit ribosomal RNA", at positions 338 to 795 of the family's 1533-position model. The record is from RNAcentral.